GGCUGAGUAGCUCAGUGGACUGAGAGCCAAGCCUAGAGGUGGGAGGUCCUAGGUUCGAAUCCAGCCUCAGCCA
RNAcentral lists this transfer RNA (73 nucleotides) under Monodelphis domestica (gray short-tailed opossum). It matches the Rfam family "tRNA". From Rfam's summary of the family: Transfer RNA (tRNA) molecules are approximately 80 nucleotides in length. The record is from Rfam by way of RNAcentral. Lineage: Eukaryota; Metazoa; Chordata; Mammalia; Didelphimorphia; Didelphidae.